RNAcentral lists this ribosomal RNA (613 nucleotides) under Actinomycetales bacterium A261. RNAcentral's name for it is "bacterial SSU rRNA". It matches the Rfam family "Bacterial small subunit ribosomal RNA", at positions 52 to 681 of the family's 1533-position model. The record is from RNAcentral. Lineage: Bacteria; Bacillati; Actinomycetota; Actinomycetes; Actinomycetales.
UACCAUGCAAGUCGAACGAUGAACCACUUCGGUGGGGAUUAGUGGCGAACGGGUGAGUAACACGUGGGCAAUCUGCCCUUCACUCUGGGACAAGCCCUGGAAACGGGGUCUAAUACCGGAUAACACUCUCGCAGGCAUCUGUGAGGGUUAAAAGCUCCGGCGGUGAAGGAUGAGCCCGCGGCCUAUCAGCUUGUUGGUGAGGUAGUGGCUCACCAAGGCGACGACGGGUAGCCGGCCUGAGAGGGCGACCGGCCACACUGGGACUGAGACACGGCCCAGACUCCUACGGGAGGCAGCAGUGGGGAAUAUUGCACAAUGGGCGAAAGCCUGAUGCAGCGACGCCGCGUGAGGGAUGACGGCCUUCGGGUUGUAAACCUCUUUCAGCAGGGAAGAAGCGAAAGUGACGGUACCUGCAGAAGAAGCGCCGGCUAACUACGUGCCAGCAGCCGCGGUAAUACGUAGGGCGCAAGCGUUGUCCGGAAUUAUUGGGCGUAAAGAGCUCGUAGGCGGCUUGUCACGUCGAUUGUGAAAGCCCGGGGCUUAACUCCGGGUCUGCAGUCGAUACGGGCUAGCUAGAGUGUGGUAGGGGAGAUCGGAAUUCCUGGUGUAGCGU